AAAAAUGAAAGCAGUUCAUGGAGAAAAUAAAAACAACUGGUACAAAUUUCCAAGUGAGUAACAAAUUAAACACUAAAGCAAUGUACAUUCUGUACUUUGAUGAAAAGUCAGAAGUUUAAAGGGAGAGGCGGGGUAAAUGCUUAUAGGUUUUCAGUGUAGAAGAUCCAAGGAAAAUGCUCUUACUUGUUAGAACUUCUAGCCGUAUUUGUUGUGAGCUCGUUUUGGAAAUUGUGUCAGUGGUACAAGGAGCCGGCCGUUUGUUUGUGCUUUAAUUAAUAGCUGUUAACUCUGAUUUUAGCCUACUGGCUCUUUAGAAAUACACAGUAACGUAAAGGAACAAUAAAAAAAAAUAAAAACCCAGUGAAUCUGGAGCAGGGGGAAAGGGGAAGAAAAAAAAAAAAAGCGGUGGAUGUAAAUCUCCUAAGGCUUUUACUGAGACAGUUCCAAGAGAAACCUAAUCACCGAGCUGCUGAGAAUCCCAGCCAUUUAAGGAAACACACACACACACACACACACACACACACACACACAAGGCAUGGGUAUUUUAUGUAAUGGAUCUACACAUAAAUUCCACAUCAGUUUCUCCGAUCUCUCCUCUGAUUCAAUUCAUAUUCGUAAUUGUGUUUCUGCCGCCCGAGUUUUCAAGUCAAAACACUCAUUUACAACGUCUCGCUGCACUGAUGAAUGAUUCUCACUGACUCACGCUCCUAAAUCAAUUUAGCUGACAUUCGACAGGUCUAACUUCAUGGCAGUGGAACGACGCGACAGAUUUCAGAACCUCCUCCGUAUUUUCUCUCCUCUCUCUCUCUCUCUCCGGUCGGCUCGGAUGUGCUUCGCAAGCAGUGGCGUGCAGCCAAAGCAACCCAGCGUCCUCGUUCUGCGGAGACAGCGGCCGUGUCGUGCUGAGCGAGAGAGGGAGGAACGAGGGUUCGGGACGAGUCGUCCUGUAUGCCUGAGCGCCGCACGCUAUACUCCGUGCAGACGCUUUCCCGCGAGUGACGCGAGGCCGUAUGUCAAAGACGGGCGCGAUACGCCGAGGAGACCGAGACCCGGUUCCAAAGUCACGCUCCGUACGUCCUGUUUAGGUCUGGAUUGUGUCUGUAAAUCACUGGUUUGGAGCGCUGGGUAGAAUGACAAGGCCUCGUGGGAUGGAGAAAGCCUUCACUGAGGCUAAGCAAACACACGAGGCAGUGAAGGAUGAGGACGGAUCCCUCAUGUAAGCCGGGUCGGUGUGUGCCGAUAUGCAAACCUCAGCUUCAAGUGGUUUGUCAUGUUAUUAUUAAUAACGAUGUGUGGUUUGGUGAAUGGACGAAUGGAAAUGCCAUGUGCUCCUUAAAUCUGGACAAAACAAGGAAUUUCAACAGAGAGUUGUUGUCCGUUUAAUUUUUUUCAUUAGGAAAACACACACACACAGUCACCGAAAGACGGACUGCGUCCGUGCGCGCUAUUUUUACAAGUGUCUCGAGUCCGUGUCGUCGAACAGCAAGCGCGUUAAACUGAGGACUGGUUGAUGCGCCGAUCCUUUUGUUCGAACCGAGAGAAUCACCACAACGCUCUGGCCAGACCGUUGUGCAAUUUGUACUUCGAUCCCACGAUCUCGGCUUAGCCUAUUUACGUCUAGUUUUUAUUCUAGACAUUUUGAGAAAUGGAGUAAUCGAGCGAAGUGAAGUAAUCCACCUAAUCUCUGUUCAUCUGCUCAUAAUUACCUGCGAGUGUAUUUCACACUCGUCCUCUCGAUCGCUGAGGAUAACGUGUUAUGGGUGUUUCAGCGACACGGGCUUAGAAAGGAAAAAAAAAAAAAAAGCCUAAAUUGAGGCGAGGCGGCGCGUCAGCGGGGCUGCGCCGUUACCGAGGAAACAGGAAUCGGCAUUUUUUUGGCUCGGAAUUCUUUGAACAAUAAAGACACUCACCGACAAAUUUAUUAGCAAUACUUGUAUGCGUGCAUGUUCAUGCAUUUAUCCCAUCAACCAAUCACAUGGCAGCAGCACAGUGCAGGAAUCUGAAUCUUUUUGUUGGGGGAGCUAGGUAGAGCAAAACCUACAGCCUGGGUGAGAAAGAAAUCAGCCCCUGAUAAACUGAUAUAAUCGUGGAUAUAAACAAUCAGACAACAGCUUAUGCCUGCUGGUCAUAUAAUAUAUGAUAUAUAUUGAUAACCACAAGUCGGCCAUGGCGUACCUAUACCUAUGCAUAUUCGGGCUGCGUCUCAAAUACACUGUUUAUGACACCGAUAUUAAGUAAGCACGCCGGUCGUAUCGGACAUUACCCCGAGUAUGUGCACACGAGUAAAACUGAAAACUAACCAUAUAAUGACGCUGACCUUCAGCUCCUGAUGUAAAAGAACAUUUUUGACUUGAUGCCUCUCGCAAGUACUGAUCUACGCUUUAACCUCUGCAGGCGUGUGAACUCGGAGAAAAUUACAUACCUUAUAAAGAUAAAUGCAGGAACAGAAUGGAUCGAGACAUAACGCUACCUUUUAUCAUCAAUAAUAUCUUAGAAGGCCUUCAGGACUGAUGUGCGAAGAGCGCUGGGGUUCAGCCCGUGUGUUUAUAUUGUAGGUGCACUAUUACAUUACAGCCAGGGCGUGCUGUGUACUGUACGUAAACACAGCAGCGGAUUAAAUCUCCAACAACAACAACAAAAAAAAAUAAACCCUGCCAAAUACCACUAAUUGAGAGCGUGGGCUCUCCCCCUCGAGAAGGGGAAAAGUUAAUUAACCCGCCGCAUUAAAGGAAACCGUAAUGUGAACUCCGCUGUCACCUCGUAUUAAGCGGUUAAGAGGCUUGUGCGCUCGGAAACUUUUUUCCCCUCCGUGUUUAAAAGUGUACGCUACAAAACCGUACGCCCCCCCCAUCACUUGCGUAAUACUUUACGUUUGAAUUCGUGAAUUAUUUCGAGGAAGGCGGCGAACGCUUAUCGAGUGCACACGACGGUGAAAGAGCAUUUAGGAUGCUUAAUUAAACAUCGGCAUUAACGUAAAAACCCACUGUUGGGUUCAUUUAUCUGGCUCGGUGAAGCCAUUUGUCGUUACGUGACUUAGCCGUGUAGCUUAUACGCACGGCCGCGUUCAACGCGAACCUCCCGAGGCCGGCGGGUUCCGCCAGAGUUUCCGCCGGCUUACUCGUGAGGUUGAUCACGAAUCGCUCCGCAUUGCGGGAACGUUGAAAGAAUUUUCACGGGCGAGAUACGAUCAUAAGAAUGCUACAGCUACAGACUCCGCCCACUCUGUUCUAACCUUUCAGACUUUUUAAGGACAAUUAAAAGAAGAUUGAACUAGAAAUCUAGGCAUGUCCUUCGAUUUGACGUCAGAGAUUUCUAUGAUAUAAUAAAACACUGAGAUAUGCGCUUAGAGGAAAAUAAUCCAAGUCGGGGUAGUGUGAACGUAUUUUCCCAUAAAAUCAGUAAGGGAACUCUGAAGUACAGUUCCCAACAGCCACUGCUUCACUGUCACAUGACCACCUGUGCCUGAUUCACGGUCCUGGUAAUUAGCACCCUUGCAUAUAGUCGCAGUUUGCAAUGCCCACUCUGUCUCACGUUAUCGUCUCACUAUACCUUUGUCUCUGCCACAGUGUUUCGUUUCCUUGUUGCAGAGUGUUUCGUAUGUUUGUUUGUUAAUAAAUGUUUAAGAAUCUGCGCUUGCUUCCGUCUCUACCUUUGAAUCGUGACGGUUAUAAACAGUCGUUCCUCACUACUCUAGUAGUACUUGUAACUGCCUGUUACAAAGUGCUGAAACUGGAGACUCCUUCCAUGAAUGCUAAAUAACCAUGUCCUAACAUAAAGCUUCAAUGGUUAUAAGUUGAUCUUUGAUUAAAAAAAAUAAUUAUAAUAAAAAAAAUCUGUUACUAUAGAAACGUACUAGAGCGAGUGCUUUAAAUCAAACCGAUCAUUCCUGACCAAUCAGAUUCGACAACUCGACAAGAUCGUAGCCAAGAACCCUAAACGAUCCGUUUACUAAAGAGUAAAUACGUACUUUCAAUACGUACGUACGGUCUACACUUAGACAAUUAAGUUCAAUCACAAAAACUGUUCUGAGCAACAUAAUGUUAGUUUAAUGUAGUUAGUUUGCAACGGCUUCUCACUGAGAAGCGCGACGGCGUCUUAUUAGACCCUAAUCGCUUCGGUAUACGAUCAGAAAGUGAAGAAACAGGAGGUAAAAGUGAGAGGAAAUGGGAAACAUCUGGUCAGAUCCAACCUCAGGGACAGGCAAAGCUUUCUACAAAUGAAAACUCAUUAAAAGACUAAUCACACACAUGACUUGAAAGUGAGACGCACCCACCGCUUGACAUUCAAAAGCUGUUACACCAGCACUUGUAGGAAAUUAAUGUAUAUCACACGCUCAGACUCCCAAAUUCAAAUUCCCUGCAAAGUCGUAACUCUGUGUAACAAACGGAGCUUUUUCUCGAGGAAAGGUGGGCUAAAAAUACGUCUUUACAGCAAAGCCCCUUGUUUGCGGGAUGUUUCCAUCAGGACGAGGUCUCGCUGGACGACAUGAGUGUACUCCAAGGAAAGCUAGAAGGUUGUACAGUUAACUCCCAUGGUGUAAUUCUAAACCAUACAACCUACUACCUCAACCUGGAUGCACACGGUUUCUUCUCGUAUCCAGGGUCCGCUCCGUAGUCUGGCGCUUCAGAUCUGGAGCUUGAAAUGGAAAAAUAAGCUCACAGCGACUAACACAUAUAGCACAACACGCGUUUAAAAAACAGAAAAGAUUUACCGGGGAUUUUCUGAUGAUUAAGGGGAUGGCGUGUACUGUUCCGCUGAGCUUUCCUCAUGACGGGUAUUAAAUUUAAAGAGAAACCAAAACGUCCCACUACGGAACAUAAAUACUCCAAUGCUAUUAAACUGGGCAGAAAAUGGCUGAUUGCACCACAGUGACAGAGACCCACAGAAGCGAGCUUGGGUUGCUAGAUUCGCCACAAGAUCGGAUCUACGGGUUUAUGACAAGUGGUUCGUCCUCGAAAAAAAACCAAAAAAAACAACGACAGCAAAACAAACUAAAUAAAAACAACAAACGCACAAAUGUCUACGUCACAAAUUCCCGACGCUAAUCGAAAAAGAAACAUUUUAUUCUUUUGAAAAGGGAAGAAAAAAAAAACGAGACAAAUUACGACAAAAGUAGCUGGACGAAACUGUUAGAACUUAAACUAGCACGUCGACAGACUCGUCUUUUCUCUCGGGCGCGUGUCGAGCGAUUACGCCCGGGUGCGAGAAGACACCUCGUGAUGCUCUACUGCUAGACAGCUCAUCUGUAGUGUACGAGAUUACGGUGGAAAGCUUACCUGAUGUAGCACGGCUCCGGAAACGUAUCGCACGCACGCCCGCUCGUCGCACUGAAAAAAAACAAACAAACAAACAAAGAUCGUUAUCGAUCAUCAGUCACAACAUCAGACAAAACACUUUAGUAUUGUGG
This is a long non-coding RNA of Ictalurus punctatus (channel catfish), 5407 nucleotides long. Lineage: Eukaryota; Metazoa; Chordata; Actinopteri; Siluriformes; Ictaluridae. The record is from Ensembl.